This 28-nucleotide small RNA is filed under the name Bombyx mori (domestic silkworm). RNAcentral describes it as "ovarian small RNA-30570". Lineage: Eukaryota; Metazoa; Arthropoda; Insecta; Lepidoptera; Bombycidae. The record is from RNAcentral.
UGAAAUCAUAAGUGAUGUCAAGCAGUCG